UACGACAAAGCGAUGAUGAUCGGUACCAGUACAAGGAACAUAGCAGCAAACCAAGGAGACAUCGAAGCCUUCUUUCUUAAGCAUUUCUUCUCUCUUUCUUCUCCUUGACCCGAAGUCGGAAGGUCAAGCAACAGAGCGCUUCGGGAGGAGGAGGAGAAGAAGGAAGAAGAAGCUGUUCGUCAAUCAUCGCUAAGCUUGCUUCUCGUACAGGAACGAGGUUUAUCUCCAAUUCUUUUGUCACUUGCGUUCUUCGCUUGAACUCUCACACGAUACGUAUCGGAUCACUCCCCAUUCAAAGACCCCCAAAAUGCGAGUUUUUUCCACUUGUUAUUGCAUAUAGUUUGAUGGGUACCUGUCCUUUUGCUAAAUUUUAGCACUUGGGACAUUGAUCACCGGUUGAAACUGUUAGUGUAGGUAUAAAUCGGCUGUUUUUGAACAUGGUUAGUGACUUCUUGAAUGAGGGGUUUUUAACUUUUGAUGUUGUUGAGGUAGUGGUGGUUCAAUGGGGGGUCCGAGUCAGAGACAGUUAUCGGCGUCGUCAUCUCGCCUCUCGCCUUUGGCCGAGCCCUUCAAAUUGAGCAAGCCCUAUCAGCAGCAAGUUUACACUCACUCAUCAGAGCCUUCAAUUAACAAUUGGCAAAGUCUCAGUCCUUCUGUUGUGUUGGUCCAUCCGUUUUCCAGUCUUGGAUUGGAAAGCGAUGCACCGGGUGAUUGCAGUUACUCUGUUUCUGACUUUGGAACUAAAGUCUCAGGCUUUCCUUAUGAUUAUCAAGAUUACCCAUCUGAGGCAUCCCAGGAUCUCGGUGGUUAUGAAACUGUAUCCGUAAUUGAGUCGUCUCUUGUGAAUUGUGGCAAAGAGGUUUCCAGUCUGGUCUGUGAUGGCCAAAUGAGUGGUGUUGAGGAUGAGGGCACUCAGGAUAAAAAAGGAAGCAGCAUUGGCUGUCAGGGGAGCAUUGUUGUUGAGGGGAAGAAUGCUAGUGAUUCGACCGCAUAUCCGCUCUUUGCAAAGCAAGGGAAUAAUGCUUCCAAAGGAUCAAAGAGCUUCCACGAAACUUGUAAUGAUCUCUGUAUGGGUUAUUUAGAAACUUUUGCGAGAGAUGAUCAGGUCAAAUUCCGAGGGACAGAGCAAAAAGAAGCUGAAUGUACCUCAUUUCCAGUACUAGAUCCCAGUGUCAGCCCCUUAGAGCUUUCAGUUUUAAUAAAUCAGUAUUCCUCUGCAACCUCCCCAAAUAGUUACAGUCCCUCACAAUGUCCAGCAGAUGUGGUUAGAGGGAACAACAAUAAUCCUAACAUUUUUUCAUCUGAAUCUGAUGGAUGCUUCCCCCAGUUUGAAUCUCAUAAAGAGAAACGUGCAGAUUCUCCUUUUCCGGGUACAAAUCACUGUCAAGCUCCGUGUUUUGGGCAAUCAAGCAUUGAUGAAAUAAUUUCUCCCUCUGAUCUUGCUGUUUCGAAACCUUCGAGUUUUAGUGGUAUUGGGGCUUUCAACGGAAGGGAGAACGAUAGUACAUUGGAAAUGGACUUUUCUGCUCAUGACGAGAGAUUUUCUGCUCUAGAAGGCGAGGAGAGAAAAAGUCAGAGAUUUGACACUGUCAUGAAUGUUGAAUCUUUGCCUGGAGUUCAAUGCAAAGGGAAAGUUGCUGAAGGAAGUAAUUUUGCCCAAGAUUCUCUUUCAAUGCCUGAAAAGGAUGGACUCAACCUAAAUGAGCUAGACGAGAGCGAUGCUGACGAAGAUUCACCUUGUUGGAAAGGACUGAACUUUUCGCAAUGUGCGUUUAGAGAAUCCGAAGCUUCAGAACAUCAACUUGAUGAAGCUCCUGAUCGUAAACUUCAAGAAAAUCGAUCAGAAGCAAGAAAAAGUUUGAAUCCCCUAGCACCUGUCUUUGUUCCUCAAAAUAUUGAACUUAAGUUGUGUCACAAGGAGAUUGAAUGUGCACAAAAUGAUUCCUUGCCUUUCCAAAAGCGUGCAUCCUCAGCUGCUAUCCCAUUGUCUGAAGUACAGACAAUGCAAUAUGACAACAUGGCAAGACACUUCAAUUGGGAAGGACUGAAGACAAUUGGCCCUCAGUUCAGAAAUGAUAUGCAUAAUCCUGCUCCGGAACCCCUUCUGAAGGGAAAGACAAGUAGCUUUGCUAAGGUUGAUUCUGGUGUCACAUCACCAUUUCCUAGGGAGGAUUUUGUUACACAUACUGGUGAUAUUGGAAGGGGAACAAAUCUUGAAGUCCCAGUGAACAUUAUCAAUGAUAUCACACUUCCCGAUGCAACUAGUGUUUCUGUCUCUGCGGUGGUGCAUGUCUCUGAGUCAAAGUCACUUGAACGGUGGUCUUUUUUAGGAGUUGGAGUGCCCACUUACACUGAGGCUCCUUCCGAUGUAUCUGACCUAGUGUCCACAUCAUCAAGGACAGAAGUGGAUGUACUUUUGAAGGAGAUGCAUUCUCUUUCAGAGUUGCUUAUAGAUAAGUGUGAGAAUGGAUACGUGCUGAGUGAUGUUAUACAUGACAGAAUCCAGGUUGUAAUCAGCAAUCUCUCAAGGUGCACAAAACAGAGGGAGAGGCAGUGGACAUCUUUGGAUGGAUUAAAUAUUCCUGGGAUCUUGAGCUUUUCAGACAAGUCUGCUUAUGCAUGCAUGAAUACUGAUUCAGUGCUGUCAAAUAAGGAGUUGCAGGAUGCUCGUCCUCUGGUCAGCAAUAUAAGUAAUGGGAUUCCCCAGUUCAUUGAGAAGAGUAUGGAAGCUGCUCAUGCUGAGGACCAAAUGAGUCCCCAGACUGUAUUAUAUAAGAACCUAUGGCUUGAAGCUGAAGAGGCAUUACAUGCAAUGAAGCAUAAGGCAUCCAUUGCACGUAUAAAGUCCAAGACAUAGAUUCACCGGAGUGAACACUUAAGUUUUGCUUCUUGGUUGAAGCUUGAUUUUUCAGGUGAUCGUGCUGUGCUUUCAAGAUAAUUUCAACCAUGUCAUUUCAUCAGAUGUUAAUGGAUCAUGUAACAAAAGGCUGACUUGACAGAAAAAAGACAUGUCACUCUAUCCACAUGUCAUAUGGCAUCUCAGCAUUUUGGUAACUUAUCUAUUGGACGGUUGAUGAAAUGAAAUGAUUGAAAUCAUUUGGAAGGACAAUGACCUGAUUGGAAGUUUUAAGUUCAGUGUCCUGAUCGAAUGUAGCUGCAAAGUUGGAUGACUGUAAAAGUAUCUUGCCCUGAUUUUGCUGUAUGAGAACGUGAGACAUUCUUUCACUACCCCGAGUGAAAGUCGUUUGAGACUUGAGAGUUUAUAUUUGAUCCCAGAUGUUAGACUUCUGGAGAUGAUGGGGAACGGGAACUACACAUAUUUGAGAUGACGAAAGAAACUGUAAGCCAUGCUCAAGUUUAUGUUCA
Syzygium oleosum is the source of this 3366-nucleotide RNA transcript. RefSeq lists it as uncharacterized. The record is from RefSeq and is a predicted model, not a curated record. The transcript has 5 exons. Lineage: Eukaryota; Viridiplantae; Streptophyta; Magnoliopsida; Myrtales; Myrtaceae.